RNAcentral lists this ribosomal RNA (468 nucleotides) under uncultured bacterium. Its description in RNAcentral is "partial 16S ribosomal RNA". It matches the Rfam family "Bacterial small subunit ribosomal RNA", at positions 28 to 507 of the family's 1533-position model. The record is from RNAcentral.
GACGAACGCUGGCGGCGUGCUUAACACUUGCAAGUCGAACGGAAAGGCCCUGCUUUUGUGGGGUGCUCGAGUAGCGAACGGGUGAGUAACACGUGAGUAACCUGCCCUUGACUUUGGGGUAACUUCAGGAAACUGGGGCUAAUACCGGAUAGGAGCUCCUGCUGCAUGGUGGGGGUUGGAAAGUUUCGGCGGUUGGGGAUGGACUCGCGGCUUAUCAGCUUGUUGGUGGGGUAGUGGCUUACCAAGGCUUUGACGGGUAGCCGGCCUGAGAGGGUGACCGGCCACAUUGGGACUGAGAUACGGCCCAGACUCCUACGGGAGGCAGCAGUGGGGAAUAUUGCACAAUGGGCGGAAGCCUGAUGCAGCAACGCCGCGUGCGGGAUGACGGCCUUCGGGUUGUAAACCGCUUUCGCCUGUGACGAAGCGUGAGUGACGGUAAUGGGUAAAGAAGCACCGGCUAACUACGUG